GAUUCUCUCUAUUAUUAUUAUCAUUUAAUAUUAUUUGAAAAGCAAAAAUAUUCCCUCACAAAUCUUAACAAGUUAGCAUCGAAUACACAAGCAACUUUCACAAUAUAUCACAAUAAUAUUCCUCACAUAAACAAGGAAAAGGCUAACUCCUCACCAUGUCGAUAGUCGAUCAUGGGGACGAUGGGGCCAGUCCUCCCAAGAGGUCCCGACUGACACCACCGGAGCCAGAUCUUGGCGAGCGCCUCAAUCAAUUGAUGCUGUGCGUCGUCUGCCACGAGGUGCCUCACCCGGACAAGAGCUACCAGUGCAGUGUGGGGCAUAUCCUGUGUGAUGAUUGUGUGAGCCAUAUUCUGGCGGAUGCCGCCAUCAGUAAUACGGAGGCCCAGUGCCCGGUCUGCCGUGUCCGGAUGACCUGGAGUGAUCUGGGCCAGAACGCCGUGGUCCGUCAGGCCUUGUGGGAGUUGUCCAAAAACUGUCUCCUAUGUGGCCUGGUAGUGACGCUCAAGGGGCUGACUAGUCACCUUGACAACGAUUGCGAGCUACGAAGAGUGAGCUGUCGGUAUCGUUGCCUGGGCUGCGACUGGGUGGGCGCCCACGCUAUAUGCCCAAUGCACGAGGCCGGUUGCCAGUUUCCGAAAAUGAAUGGCGAGGAAAUACAGGGAGCUCUCGAAAAGGCAGACAGCCUUGAGAGGAAGAGCCUACAACAGGCGGUCCGUUUUCUUCACGAACUGAGCCAAAGACGCAUCUUUUUCAGAAAUCUGGAAAUUUUUUGGAAAACCGAUUGGGCUAUGACCAACACUGAACGAUUUCUGGAUUCUCAGAGUUUUGAAGCCUAUGGAAAUCAGUGGAUACUGCGCCUGCGAGUCAGUCUUUCAUUGGAUGACAUUCCAGUGAAAGUUAAAUCCACCCUUUUGCUGAAGGUUCCUCCAAAAGAGGUAAUCACAGUAAGAUAUCUUGUGUUGAUGCCCAGCCGACAGGGAAGUGACAAAAAUAUGCAAGACAUUUUAGCAAAUCUGGUUGAACGUCAGUACGUUGCCGGUACGGUCGAAAGGUACCAGGACUUACCAAUGCAGAGCCCCAUGGCUCUUUACCGUCUUCUGGCAAUGCAGAGGAUUGUGUUGCGUCUUUGGAUGUUUAUGCCUUAACUUCAAUUCAAUUGACCUUCUAUUGAAUGCAUUCAUAUAUUAUAUAUUUUUUCAAAAAUGAAAGUAAAAGUUUUUUCCGGUGGAACUCCACACAUACAUAUGACCCACAGUGAUAUCUCUAUCUUGGCCAUCUUUCAUCCAAUUCUUGAACGGAAAACCUUAAGAGAUUGGAUUAGACCUUAAACGAAAUAGAAUCCAAAUUUUUUAGCCAAUUUUUCCUAGUAAAAGUUGAAGAAUUUAUGGGAAUCUGAGAGUCUGUGCUCUAUCUGUGUUAUCUUACAUCUGAUUUUCGAAAGAAAUACUUUCCAAUAAAAACCUGGCUUUUUCGAGUAUUAUGAAAAGCAAGGAAAGGACGCAUUUGGCCUACUCUAUCUUGGCCAUCUUUUAUCCGAUUUAUGAAAGGAAUACCGUCAAUUAUUUUUAGAUUUUGUAUAAUGUUGUGUGUAGUAACAAACCUCUAAAAAAAACGAAUUUAUGUGAAAUUAUACAUAUUUAUUUUUU
Molecule: RNA transcript, 1646 nt
Organism: Drosophila ananassae
Lineage: Eukaryota; Metazoa; Arthropoda; Insecta; Diptera; Drosophilidae
Gene name: cysteine and histidine-rich protein 1
Exons: 4
Source: RefSeq, a predicted model, not a curated record